UUGUAUACUGCAUGUGAAAGAGCAUUGCGUCAAGGGGGAAAAACAAACAAACAUACAAACAAACAAAAAACCCUCCAACAUAUAUAUAUAUAUAUAUAAAUAUUUAAUCCCAUAUUUAAAUUACAGGCACGUGCAGGCUUUAACGGUGCAUUGCACGGAACCGCAGUGAGUAUUUGAACCGCCGUCAGUGCCUUACCUUUUUGUAGGCGUCCAGCAAGAAACUAUUCCAGAUGGAGCGGAGCCCCGCCGUCGUCAACAUGCGACGCCACUCUCCCGAGCCGGCGGACCUGGAGCAACUCAAAAGCGAAACAAUGCGCUUCACGAGCACCAUGGAGUCGUACAGCGCCAGGAAGAGACAGUUUGAAAAGAAACCAGGGAACAAGGGAGUGGCAACAUCCUAUUCAAAGAUGUCUCACAGCAACUAUGACGUCUACCAUCAUCCAUCACAAUGAAACUGCAGGUGCACGCAGUUGUGCAAGAAUCCAUCAAGCCCAAUGCCUUUGGAAAAAAAAAAAAAAAAAGUUACCUGAGACCACCGUCUCCUGCGGUUUCAACAAUUGUUACAGGAGAGAGUCUCGCACACCGGUCAAUGAUCCACUGCAGAGGUGGAAUUGUUACCGUAAAGCUCACAAAUUCAGAGUAUGAUAGGGAGCAAAAGGUUCUCUGCCACCAAUAGCCUGUCGCAGAUUACAACAACUAAGGCCUUGUGAUCUACUCAGGUGUUGCAAACUCAACGCAGCAGAGGCCAAGGAUACUGCCCGAUCAAGAUUGGAGGGACACGAGCCAGUGCUGGAAUACCGGACAAACCUCUGAGAAUGACAUAAUUGAACCAUGG
Long non-coding RNA from Phycodurus eques (leafy seadragon), 835 nucleotides. RefSeq lists it as uncharacterized. Lineage: Eukaryota; Metazoa; Chordata; Actinopteri; Syngnathiformes; Syngnathidae. The transcript has 6 exons. The record is from RefSeq and is a predicted model, not a curated record.